Long non-coding RNA from Bactrocera neohumeralis, 2289 nucleotides. RefSeq lists it as uncharacterized. Lineage: Eukaryota; Metazoa; Arthropoda; Insecta; Diptera; Tephritidae. The transcript has 3 exons. The record is from RefSeq and is a predicted model, not a curated record.
UAGGCGCAAUACUUAAACAAACACAGAAAUGUGGAGAAAUCAAACCAGUGGCAUAUUUUCCAAAGAAGCUAAAUGAAACACAAAAAAAGAAGAAAGCUAUAUUUUUAGAAUGCUUAGCCAUGAAAGAAAGUCUAAAAUUUUGGCAACACUGGCUGAUAGGAAACUCAUUUACAAUUUAUACGGGCAAUAAGCCGCUAGAAAAUUUAAACAUUAAGAACAGAACAGAUGAUGAAUUGGGAGACAUGACCCAUUACCUAUCACAAUACAACUUUGUAAUAAAAUACAACCCAGGUAGAAACAAUACUGAAGCGGAUUGCUUGAGCAGAAACCCUGUAUAUAAAAGUCACGAAAAUGAAGAAGACAACUUAAACAGUUAUUAUUAUAAAGAUUGAGGAAAUAUUAAAAGACCAAAAUAUAAACCGCAACGUAAAAGACAAGUACAGUUUCAUUAAAGAGAAUGGUACUACAAAUGGAGAAACAAGAAGAAAAAAAUUAUUUUGUCCGAAGACUACAGUAAGGUAUUAAUAAGAAAGGUGCAUGAACAUUUGUGUCAUGUGGGAAUAAAUCAGAUUGAGUCGAAAAUAAGACCUUUCUAUACAGCACCCAACCUAUUAAAUAAUAUAAUGUUGGUUUGCCGUCAAUGUGAAGUUUGUAUAAAAACCAAAUCAAGAUUAAAUAGAAAUUAUGGGCUAAUGUCACAACUAGGACCGUCAGAAAAACCUUUUCAAAUCAUGUCCAUAGACAGGAGGGUUUGGUGGCAACAGGUCUUCAAAAAGGUAUCUACACUUGUUAGUAGAUCUUUUUACUCGUUGUGCUUACAUUUCAUGCUCGAGGACACAACUGGCUAAGGACUACAUAAAACUCUCUCUCUGAUCAAUAUCCAGCACUGAAUUCACAAUAGUUAAAAAAAUAUUUAAAAGACCAUUCUGUUGAUUUAAUUUUUACUGCGGUGGAUUCUCCAUUUUCAAAUGGUCAUAAUGAGAGGUUAAAUCAUUGGUAAAUAGGAUUAGAUGUGCCUUAAACAGCAAAGGAAAAAGAACAGCUUGGACGACCGUAGCAAUGGAUUGUGUGAAAGCCUAUAACUCAACAAACCACACUGUGUCAAGUUAUUCACCUCUGUACCUGUUAAAGUGAGAACCAACUGAUGUAUUACCAGUGGAUCUAAAAAUAAAACAAUUGGAACCCGGAGAACUGGAAAAAAACAGACAUCCAGCAUUUCUCAGAUCAAACAAAUCACAUGAAUUAAACAAGGCCAGAUUUGACAGAAAUAGAAUAGAUUACAAUCUCCAAAAAGGCGAUAUGGUAUACAUAAUGGACUGUAAUAAGUUAAAUAGAUUGUUAAAUAGAUCUAAAAUGGAUGAAAUAAGAAUAGGUCCUUUUGAGAUUGAAGAAAUGAUAUCAGAUUCACUCUGCAAAAUUAACACUGGAAAGAAUAAAAAGUCCUUGGGAUUGUACCAUGUGACAAAGCUCAUUCCUCAGUAGGAUAACUGAACUUAACUCCAGUAAAUUUUCAAUUUUGAAGGAUGGAGAUGUAAGCUUUGUAUGAUGUGAACACAGCCUUACAAUAGAGUGAGUGAGCACUACCCUGCAAGACGGAGGUAACAGAUUGCACAAACACAUUGAAACAUUUUCAGCUGUUCACUAACACUGUUACAUUUUCUGGAAUUUUCAAUUGAAUGGGAAAAUACGUAAGUAAGAUAGAGAAAAACUAUCGACAUUCUAAACAUAUUGUAAUAUUAACUUGCUAGAAUAGGAGAGACGAAUGCCCAAUUUUUCAAGAAGAAGAAAACGAAAAGCGCAGUUUAUUUUGGUUUUUAAAGAGAGUAAACGAAAAAGAUUAACAACGAGAAAAAGAAAUCAUUUGGAACGUUUGGAUGCGUAUAACAAAGACGCACCAUCCAAUUAGCCGCAUCACCGGUGACUUGGAGGACGAGCAUUACGCGGAGCUCGCUAUUAGUUUAAGUAAAUAUUUGAUUAUUUUGAUGUUAUUAUUAAAUAAAGCGAAAUAAUAAAAAAACUGAAUUUUAUUUAAAAGAAUUGAAUUUGCUAGAAGUAACAAAUGGGUAACAGAUAAUCUUGUUACUGCUUGUUCUUGCUAACAUGCUUAUAUGUUAUAGGUAACAAACUGAUAACGAAAAUAAUAACACUAACAGAUAUUCGGGUUACAAAUACUUUUUGUUAUCCAUAACACAUAGGUAAGCAAUGCGCUAACAAAAGAAUUUGUUACCCGUAACAUACUGUGAAGAGAUUUGCUAACAAAUGCAUGUAUUCUGUUAGAACAAGGCAGCA